This 584-nucleotide ribosomal RNA is filed under the name uncultured bacterium. RNAcentral's name for it is "partial 16S ribosomal RNA". It matches the Rfam family "Bacterial small subunit ribosomal RNA", at positions 355 to 1375 of the family's 1533-position model. The record is from RNAcentral.
UGGGGAAUUUUGGACAAUGGGCGAAAGCCUGAUCCAGCAAUGCCGCGUGUGUGAAGAAGGCCUUCGGGUUGUAAAGCACUUUUGUCCGGAAAGAAAUCCUUGGCUCUAAUACAGUCGGGGGAUGACGGUACCGGAAGAAUAAGCACCGGCUAACUACGUGCCAGCAGCCGCGGUAAUACGUAGGGUGCAAGCGUUAAUCGGAAUUACUGGGCGUAAAGCGUGCGCAGGCGGUUUGCUAAGACCGAUGUGAAAUCCCCGGGCUCAACCUGGGAACUGCAUUGGUGACUGGCAGGCUAGAGUAUGGCAGAGGGGGGUAGAAUUCCACGUGUAGCAGUGAAAUGCGUAGAGAUGUGGAGGAAUACCGAUGGCGAAGGCAGCCCCCUGGGCCAAUACUGACGCUCAUGCACGAAAGCGUGGGGAGCAAACAGGAUUAGAUACCCUGGUAGUCCACGCCCUAAACGAUGUCACUAGUUGUUGGGGAUUCAUUUCCUUAGUAACGUAGCUAACGCGUGAAGUUGACCGCCUGGGGAGUACGGUCGCAAGAUUAAAACUCAAAUGAAUUGACGGGGUCAUAGCUGUUUCCU